RNAcentral lists this ribosomal RNA (468 nucleotides) under uncultured bacterium. RNAcentral describes it as "partial 16S ribosomal RNA". It matches the Rfam family "Bacterial small subunit ribosomal RNA", at positions 28 to 507 of the family's 1533-position model. The record is from RNAcentral.
GACGAACGCUGGCGGCGUGCUUAACACAUGCAAGUCGAACGGAAAGGCCCUGCUUUUGUGGGGUGCUCGAGUGGCGAACGGGUGAGUAACACGUGAGUAACCUGCCCUUGACUUUGGGAUAACUUCAGGAAACUGGGGCUAAUACCGGAUAGGAGCUCCUGCUGCAUGGUGGGGGUUGGAAAGUUUCGGCGGUUGGGGAUGGACUCGCGGCUUAUCAGCUUGUUGGUGGGGUAGUGGCUUACCAAGGCUUUGACGGGUAGCCGGCCUGAGAGGGUGACCGGCCACAUUGGGACUGAGAUACGGCCCAGACUCCUACGGGAGGCAACAGUGGGGAAUAUUGCACAGUGGGCGGAAGCCUGAUGCAGCAACGCCGCGUGCGGGAUGACGGCCUUCGGGUUGUAAACCGCUUUCGCCUGUGACGAAGCGUGAGUGACGGUAAUGGGUAAAGAAGCGCCGGCUAACUACGUG